This 451-nucleotide ribosomal RNA is filed under the name uncultured bacterium. Its description in RNAcentral is "bacterial SSU rRNA". It matches the Rfam family "Bacterial small subunit ribosomal RNA", at positions 29 to 506 of the family's 1533-position model. The record is from RNAcentral.
ACGAACGCUGGCGGCGUGCCUAACACAUGCAAGUCGAACGGACUCUUCGGAGUUAGUGGCGGACGGGUGAGUAAUACAUAGAAAACAUGCCUUAAAGUGGGGGAUAACAUUCCGAAAGGGGUGCUAAUACCGCAUAAUGUAGUCGGUUGAGAUACUGAUUAAGAAAGGAGCAAUUCGCUUAUGGAGUGGUCUAUGGUCGAUUAGAUAGUUGGUGGGGUAAAGGCUUACCAAGUCGAUGAUCGAUAGCUGGUCUGAGAGGACGAUCAGCCACACUGGGACUGAGACACGGCCCAGACUUCUACGGAAGGCAGCAGUGGGGAAUUUUCCGCAAUGGGCGAAAGCCUGACGGAGCGACGCCGCGUGGAGGAAGAAGUAUUUCGGUAUGUAAACUCCUUUUGUCAGGGACGAAACAAAUGACGGUACCUGAAGAAUAAGCAUCGGCUAACUACGU